UUGAUGAACGCUAGCGACAGGCUUAACACAUGCAAGUCGAGGGGCAGCACAGGUAGCAAUACCGGGUGGCGACCGGCGCACGGGUGAGUAACGCGUAUGCAACUUACCUAUCAGAGGGGGAUAACCCGGCGAAAGUCGGACUAAUACCGCAUGAAGCAGGGGCCCCGCAUGGGGAUAUUUGCUAAAGAUUCAUCGCUGAUAGAUAGGCAUGCGUUCCAUUAGGCAGUUGGCGGGGUAACGGCCCACCAAACCGACGAUGGAUAGGGGUUCUGAGAGGAAGGUCCCCCACAUUGGUACUGAGACACGGACCAAACUCCUACGGGAGGCAGCAGUGAGGAAUAUUGGUCAAUGGCCGAGAGGCUGAACCAGCCAAGUCGCGUGAGGGAUGAAGGUUCUAUGGAUCGUAAACCUCUUUUAUAAGGGAAUAAAGUGCGGGACGUGUCCCGUUUUGUAUGUACCUUAUGAAUAAGGAUCGGCUAACUCCGUGCCAGCAGCCGCGGUAAUACAGAGGAUCCGAGCGUUAUCCGGAUUUAUUGGGUUUAAAGGGUGCGUAGGCGGCCUUUUAAGUCAGCGGUGAAAGUCUGUGGCUCAACCAUAGAAUUGCCGUUGAAACUGGGGGGCUUGAGUAUGUUUGAGGCAGGCGGAAUGCGUGGUGUAGCGGUGAAAUGCAUAGAUAUCACGCAGAACCCCGAUUGCGAAGGCAGCCUGCCAAGCCAUUACUGACGCUGAUGCACGAAAGCGUGGGGAUCAAACAGGAUUAGAUACCCUGGUAGUCCACGCAGUAAACGAUGAUCACUAGCUGUUUGCGAUACACUGUAAGCGGCACAGCGAAAGCGUUAAGUGAUCCACCUGGGGAGUACGCCGGCAACGGUGAAACUCAAAGGAAUUGACGGGGGCCCGCACAAGCGGAGGAACAUGUGGUUUAAUUCGAUGAUACGCGAGGAACCUUACCCGGGUUUGAACGCAUUCGGACCGAGGUGGAAACACCUUUUCUAGCAAUAGCCGUUUGCGAGGUGCUGCAUGGUUGUCGUCAGCUCGUGCCGUGAGGUGUCGGCUUAAGUGCCAUAACGAGCGCAACCCUUGCCACUAGUUACUAACAGGUAAAGCUGAGGACUCUGGUGGGACUGCCAGCGUAAGCUGCGAGGAAGGCGGGGAUGACGUCAAAUCAGCACGGCCCUUACAUCCGGGGCGACACACGUGUUACAAUGGCGUGGACAAAGGGAAGCCACCUGGCGACAGGGAGCGAAUCCCCAAACCACGUCUCAGUUCGGAUCGGAGUCUGCAACCCGACUCCGUGAAGCUGGAUUCGCUAGUAAUCGCGCAUCAGCCAUGGCGCGGUGAAUACGUUCCCGGGCCUUGUACACACCGCCCGUCAAGCCAUGGGAGCCGGGGGUACCUGAAGUCCGUAACCGCGAGGAUCGGCCUAGGGUAAAACUGGU
Molecule: ribosomal RNA, 1439 nt
Filed under: uncultured organism
Description: SSU rRNA
Rfam family: Bacterial small subunit ribosomal RNA
Source: RNAcentral